This 499-nucleotide ribosomal RNA is filed under the name uncultured Glomeromycotina. Its description in RNAcentral is "partial small subunit ribosomal RNA". It matches the Rfam family "Eukaryotic small subunit ribosomal RNA", at positions 591 to 1092 of the family's 1831-position model. The record is from RNAcentral. Lineage: Eukaryota; Fungi; Glomeromycota.
CCAAUAGCGUAUAUUAAAGUUGUUGCAGUUAAAAAGCUCGUAGUUGAAUUUCGGGAUCAGACUGUCGGUCGUGCCUCGGUACGCACUGGCAUUAUUGGUUCCUACCUUCUGAAGAACCGCGAUGUCAUUAAUUUGGUGUCGUGGGGAAUCAGGACUGUUACUUUGAAAAAUUUAGAGUGUUUAAAGCAGGCGCACGCUUGAAUACAUUAGCAUGGAAUAAUGAAAUAGGACGUUUGAUUCUAUUUUGUUGGUUUCUAGGAUCGACGUAAUGAUUAAUAGGGAUAGUUGGGGGCAUUAGUAUUCAAUUGUCAGAGGUGAAAUUCUUGGAUUUAUUGAAGACUAACUACUGCGAAAGCAUUUGCCAAGGAUGUUUUCAUUAAUCAAGAACGAAAGUUAGGGGAUCGAAGACGAUCAGAUACCGUCGUAGUCUUAACCAUAAACUAUGCCGACUAGGGAUCGGAUGAUGUUGAUUUUUUAAUGACUCAUUCGGCGCCUUACG